This 21-nucleotide non-coding RNA is filed under the name Caenorhabditis elegans. The record is from RNAcentral. Lineage: Eukaryota; Metazoa; Nematoda; Chromadorea; Rhabditida; Rhabditidae.
UCUCUCACAAUAAUGAUUUUU